Cucurbita moschata (crookneck pumpkin) is the source of this 743-nucleotide long non-coding RNA. RefSeq lists it as uncharacterized. Lineage: Eukaryota; Viridiplantae; Streptophyta; Magnoliopsida; Cucurbitales; Cucurbitaceae. The transcript is spliced from 4 exons. The record is from RefSeq and is a predicted model, not a curated record.
AAGGUUUUGGAAAGAAGGAGGAGAGAGAAGUCGGCCGCCCUAAAUUUACCGUUGGAGAUCAACCCAAGGCAAGAAGCUUUGAAUCAAAACUACCGAGACUCGGUGUUGGAAGAAAGGUUUGGGUGGUGGAUUUGCCCAUUCCAACAAGAAAACCCGAGAACUAAACAUGGAUUCACAAAGAAAUCUUAGAUGAAAAUCGGAGUCCAAGUUGGAGAACGGCGAACUGGUCAAGAACCGUAAUAGAAAGGGAACCACCGCCAAGCAUCGCCCACUGUACGGAGGAGCGCGAUGGAAACGACAAGCGACACAUGCCACAAUUUCAUUGGAGAAACGCGUCUGAGCUGCGAGAAGACACGCAUCAGGCGCACGGAUCUAGGUUGGCCCGAAUCUUAACAGACAACCGACACACGACCCAACGUUCAACCCGCGGCUACAUAGGAAACUUGCGCGUAAGCACCCUCAAAAGCGCAUGAGAAGCACGACCCAUCAAGGAAAUUUCAGAAUAUUUGGAAUCCUCUCCAGUAAGAAAUUUGAGCUCGAAAAGGCACGCGUCAACCAUGUAAGUAACCAUAGGAUUCCCAUAAGUAAUACUUAUAGGAACUGCUUGGAAUUAGCAUGCAUGCUGUCAAACUGGUAAUCCUAGCUAGUCGGACUUGGUUAUAUUAGUAUAUAAGUCGUGAAAAAAGAAUUAAAUAAGCAAAUUAAUGGUAGCUAGAAUCGAUCGACUAUGAAUUCACUUUAGG